GACCGCGUAGCUCAGUUGGCAGAGCAUUGGGCUAGUAUUCCAAAGGUCGUAGGUUCGAUUCCCACUGUGGCCG
Molecule: transfer RNA, 73 nt
Filed under: Paramuricea clavata
Lineage: Eukaryota; Metazoa; Cnidaria; Anthozoa; Malacalcyonacea; Plexauridae
Rfam family: tRNA
About the family: Transfer RNA (tRNA) molecules are approximately 80 nucleotides in length. Their secondary structure includes four short double-helical elements and three loops (D, anti-codon, and T loops).
Source: Rfam by way of RNAcentral